Quercus robur (English oak) is the source of this 267-nucleotide long non-coding RNA. RefSeq lists it as uncharacterized. Lineage: Eukaryota; Viridiplantae; Streptophyta; Magnoliopsida; Fagales; Fagaceae. The record is from RefSeq and is a predicted model, not a curated record. The transcript has 2 exons.
GGAGUUCUGGGAAGCAGUUAGGAAGGAGCCAAUAUUCAUUGGUUGAUGCUACGGUGUAGUAGCGGAAUCCGGAAAGCUAGAAAAGAAAAGGUUCGGCGCAACCUCGUUGGAGCAAGAAGCUUGGAGGGCUUAGGUGCAUUGGGUAGAUUAGGCUUGGAGGGUCUAUUGCUGUCCUUGUAUCCCAACUGUAUUUUCUAGUGGAUUGAUUACCGCUUGGAGGGCGGCGGAGAGGUUUUUCGCCGAGGUCUUCGGUUUCCUCUUCAAUAA